CUUACCACGUGCUAAGAAAGCACUCAGACGGGCCGGCGGACAGGGACAGGGAGAGGAAAGGGGAGAUUGGCAGAGGGGGCCUCAGGAAGACCCCAGAAAGUCACGGAAGGGAGGGGUAGGAGAUUCCCGGAAGGAGGACCUAGGCUGGGUUUUUCUAUUUCUAAUUUUUACUGGUUUCCUAAAACACAAAAGU
Unclassified non-coding RNA from Fukomys damarensis (Damara mole-rat), 193 nucleotides. Lineage: Eukaryota; Metazoa; Chordata; Mammalia; Rodentia; Bathyergidae. The record is from Ensembl.